RNAcentral lists this ribosomal RNA (497 nucleotides) under uncultured bacterium. Its description in RNAcentral is "partial 16S ribosomal RNA". It matches the Rfam family "Bacterial small subunit ribosomal RNA", at positions 28 to 507 of the family's 1533-position model. The record is from RNAcentral.
GAUGAACGCUGGCGGCGUGCCUAAUACAUGCAAGUCGAGCGAACAGAUGAGGAGCUUGCUCCUCUGACGUUAGCGGCGGACGGGUGAGUAACACGUGGAUAACCUACCUAUAAGACUGGGAUAACUUCGGGAAACCGGAGCUAAUACCGGAUAAUAUAUUGAACCGCAUGGUUCAAUAGUGAAAGACGGUUUUGCUGUCACUUAUAGAUGGAUCCGCGCCGCAUUAGCUAGUUGGUAAGGUAACGGCUUACCAAGGCAACGAUGCGUAGCCGACCUGAGAGGGUGAUCGGCCACACUGGAACGGAGCCACGGUCCAGACUCCUACGGGAGGCAGCAGUAGGGAAUCUUCCGCAAUGGGCGAAAGCCUGACGGAGCAACGCCGCGUGAGUGAUGAAGGUCUUCGGAUCGUGAAACUCUGUUAUUAGGGAAGAACAAAUGUGUAAGUAACUAUGCACGUCUUGACGGUACCUAAUCAGAAAGCCACGGCUAACUACGUG